UGGGGAAUAUUGCACAAUGGGCGCAAGCCUGAUGCAGCCAUGCCGCGUGUGUGAAGAAGGCCUUCGGGUUGUAAAGCACUUUCAGCGAGGAGGAAGGUGGUGAGCUUAAUACGCUCAUCAAUUGACGUUACUCGCAGAAGAAGCACCGGCUAACUCCGUGCCAGCAGCCGCGGUAAUACGGAGGGUGCAAGCGUUAAUCGGAAUUACUGGGCGUAAAGCGCACGCAGGCGGUUUGUUAAGUCAGAUGUGAAAUCCCCGGGCUCAACCUGGGAACUGCAUUUGAAACUGGCAAGCUAGAGUCUCGUAGAGGGGGGUAGAAUUCCAGGUGUAGCGGUGAAAUGCGUAGAGAUCUGGAGGAAUACCGGUGGCGAAGGCGGCCCCCCUGGACGAAGACUGACGCUCAGGUGCGAAAGCGUGGGGAGCAAACGGGAUUAGAUACCCUGGUAGUCCAGCGCUGUAAAACGAUGUCGAUUUUGGAGGUUGUGCCCUUGAGGCGUGGCUUCCGGAGCUAACGCGUUAAAUCGACCGCCUGGGGAGUACGGCCGCAAGGUU
RNAcentral lists this ribosomal RNA (552 nucleotides) under uncultured bacterium. Its description in RNAcentral is "partial 16S ribosomal RNA". It matches the Rfam family "Bacterial small subunit ribosomal RNA", at positions 355 to 895 of the family's 1533-position model. The record is from RNAcentral.